CACGUAGGGCGCAAGCGUUGUCCGGAAUUAUUGGGCGUAAAGAGCUCGUAGGCGGUCUGUUGCGUCCGCUGUGAAAACCCGGGGCUUAACCCCUGGCUUGCAGUGGAUACGGACAGACUAGAGGUAGGUAGGGGAGAAUGGAAUUCCCGGUGUAGCGGUGAAAUGCGCAGAUAUCAGGAAGAACACCAACGGCGAAGGCAGCUCGCUGGGACGGUACUGACGCUGAGACGCGAAAGCGUGGGGAGCGAACAGG
RNAcentral lists this ribosomal RNA (253 nucleotides) under uncultured bacterium. RNAcentral describes it as "partial 16S ribosomal RNA". It matches the Rfam family "Bacterial small subunit ribosomal RNA", at positions 524 to 776 of the family's 1533-position model. The record is from RNAcentral.